CUUCAUAUUGGAGGGGGUGGCAAAUGGCAACAUAGCGAUCAUAGGACAUGACAGUGAGAAAGGCCAGCUCAGCAGAUGCAAAAGCAAAGAAAAAAUAGACUUGAGCCACACAGCCAAGGAGAGAGUUCAGUUUGAGGAGAAACUUCCCAAGAGAUGUGAGGAUACAUAGAGUGCAGGAGUAUAAGAGUUCUUGCUUCAGCCCCCUGUGUAUUCCAAGACUGUCAAAGGCCAGAGGAGCAUGAUUACACUGGAUGUGGGAGAGAAGAAGAGAGUAUGAGCAAGCUGGAGGGAGAGGCAGAAAAAAGAAACAAACUCCCCACUGAGCAGGACCUUUGGGACCUGGUGUUCCUGCCUGCUGGCAAUUGGAUCUAUCUUCUAGUCUCUCUUGAGGACAAGAGACGUUUACAUACCUACAAUCAACAGAGAUUUAUACCCAACACCAUGGGAAAUUAUUCUCUCCUUAAUGGAAUUCUCUCCUCAACAUUUAAUCUUUUCUUUUGUGCCCUGAAGAACAAAGACAUGAAGAGAAGAUAAUCAUUUGCUGCAGAUCUAAAUAUUCUGCCAGAUAGAUCCACAGAAUCCUCUAAUGUUCACUGAAUUAAAAUAAUGUAUUCUGGAAAAUAA
Canis lupus familiaris (dog) is the source of this 624-nucleotide long non-coding RNA. RefSeq lists it as uncharacterized. Lineage: Eukaryota; Metazoa; Chordata; Mammalia; Carnivora; Canidae. The record is from RefSeq and is a predicted model, not a curated record. The transcript is spliced from 4 exons.